This is a long non-coding RNA of Notolabrus celidotus (New Zealand spotty), 988 nucleotides long. RefSeq lists it as uncharacterized. NCBI's taxonomy places the organism in Eukaryota, Metazoa, Chordata, Actinopteri, Labriformes, Labridae. The transcript has 3 exons. The record is from RefSeq and is a predicted model, not a curated record.
ACGUUUUAUUACAUUUAACCCAACUUCCCCGCCAAAACAACUUACACACAGUCCCUGAACAGUGUAAAAUGAAAGCUUACAAAUGAAUUAGUCUUCAUAGUUCCCUACCAGGCAGUGCCAGCAUAGAGGGGUAAUCCUUGCAGUCAGACACCCCCGUGGUGUCAGAGAUGCAGUCCCUCCACAGGUUGGAGUAGUAGUUGGAGGUGGUCAGCACGAUGCUCCCCACCUCAGAGAAGGUCCAGUACUCUGUGGGAAGAGUGGAACACACCAGGAUCCAUCCACACAGGCACGACACGAAGGAGCCGAUCUCCAUGUACAUCACCACCGUCCGGUAUUUCAUGAACCCCAAAGUCCACGCAGUUCACUACACCAGUGGAGUCCUCAUAGCAGUCCUUCCAUAGGUCAGACCAGAACCAGGAUGCUGUCACCACAGAGGAGCCCCCUUGACCUCCCAGCUGGGCCACCCUCCAGGACAAGUUGCAAGUGUGCAGCCCACAAAGCCCCAGCCUAGAGUGCAAAGCAGCAGGCCCAGGAUUUGAGCAUGUCUCCUCCACAUCCUUCCCCAGCUAACCACAGAUUGUUAGUGAGAGCUAGUAAUACCAGAUGUCUAUGUAAAAGAAGUAGUCUCCAGUAAUUCAAGACGACAAAAACCACAAGAGUGGACUCAAUCCGUGGAGCUGUAGUCUUCUUACAGCAGCUGCUGUAGUGAAUAUGUGAAGGUUUGAAUAACAGCAAAGCAGACUGUGUUUACAGUCAACCAGACCUGAUGAGGCUGGCUGAGUUUAUUUGUUUCAUUAAGACACAGAGACAGUUUGAUCAGAAUGGAAGUAUCAUAUACAAAAAUGUGUUUUACUGGAUGAAUGGAUCAUAUUUGUUACAAAUCACAAGUCCUUUACAUUUAUAUACAAGUGUUGCUAAUAAUGCUAACAUGAUGUUUUAUUCAAAUAAAAGAGUUCUUCACAAAUGGUCUCGUCUCACUCCUCGAACU